Molecule: long non-coding RNA, 2415 nt
Filed under: Sinocyclocheilus grahami
Lineage: Eukaryota; Metazoa; Chordata; Actinopteri; Cypriniformes; Cyprinidae
Description: lncRNA (ENSSGRG00000038317.1)
Source: RNAcentral
GUCAGGUAGCACCACUUAUUUUAUAUAUAUAUAUUAUUUUUUUGUAAUAUAUAAUCUGACAUAUUUUGUUUGAUCAAAAACAAGCUACAAAAUGAGUCAUGAGCUUUAUAUGUUGCAGUUACGAAAGCACCUCCUCUAGUGGCACCACCUGGACAGUGGUCACCCCCAUCACCUUCACAUAUACAGUUACUCAGACCAAAAACCUUCUUGACCCCAGCAAUGACACUCUGCUUUUGGGCCACAUCAGAGACACUGAGCAGCUUGAGGCUGUACGGUCCAGCACCAAGCCCUUAAAACGCUUCAUAGUCAUGGAUGAGGUAGUAUACAAUCUCUAUGGUUCUCAGAUCACUGACUACCUCGAGGCCAGACACGUCCUGUACCAGAUCAUGCCCCUGCCCACGACAGAGGAGAACAAGUCCAUGGAAAUGGCCCUGAAGAUCCUGGAAGAAGUCCACCAAUUUGGCAUCGAUCGGCGCAACGAGCCCAUCAUCGCCAUCGGAGGUGGGGUCUGCCUGGAUAUUGUGGGUCUCGCUGCGUCCCUCUACAGAAGGCGCACUCCAUACAUUCGUGUUCCCACUACCCUUUUGUCAUACAUCGAUGCAAGCGUCGGAGCAAAGACGGGUGUUAAUUUCGCAAAUUGCAAGAAUAAGCUAGGCACCUACAUCGCACCUGUUGCUGCCUUUUUGGACAGGUCGUUUAUACAGACAAUUCCUCGCAGACACAUAUCUAAUGGUCUUGCAGAAAUGUUGAAGAUGGCUCUGAUGAAGCACAGAGGGCUGUUUGAACUUCUGGAAACGCAGGGGCAGUUCCUUUUAGACUCCAAGUUCCAGUCCGGUUUGGUUCUAGAAGACGACCGCAUUGACCCUGCUUCUGUUUCUACACGUGUCGCCAUAGAAACCAUGUUAGAGGAAUUGGCCCCAAACCUGUGGGAGGAUGAUCUAGACAGACUCGUUGACUUCGGUCACCUGAUCAGCCCAGAACUAGAGAUGAAAGUCCUACCAGCUUUACUCCACGGUGAGGCAGUAAAUAUCGAUAUGUCCUACAUGGUGUAUGUGGCGUGUGAGAUGGGGUUUCUCACAGAGCAGGAGAAGUUCAGGAUCAUCUGUUGCAUGCUGGGACUGGAGUUGCCGGUGUGGCAUCAAGACUGCACCUUUGCUUUGGUUAAGAAAUCUCUGUGUGACAGACUACAGCACUCCGGAGGGCUUGUGAGAAUGCCUUUACCAACAGGCCUCGGAAGAGCAGAAAUCUUCAACGACACUGAUGAAGGCACUCUGUUCCGGGCGUACGAGAAAUGGUGCGAUGAACUGAGCACUGGUUCACUUCAAUGAGACUUCAGCCAAUGUUUACAUAUAGGGGAGCCUCUUAGCUUUAACAAUUUAUACGCAUGAAUAAAUGAAUAGAUUUUGUUUCCUUUUUAUUUUGUAUACAUUUAAGUGUUUUACAUUUAAAACAAUUGCUUCUCAUUACUAUAAUUGCCAUUUUUGUAAAUGGCUGUGAAUAGAAGAAGGCUGACUUGAUAUGUGAAGAUUUUUCUUUAGUUGUGUUUAAGGGUUUCUUUCCCAUCAUUUCAUGUUUGAUAAAGGGACAUUUUGGUUAAUAAUGAAAUCAUUUAUUAAAAUGUGAAAAAUUCUGCCUGAUGUGUUGGAUGUAAUGCAUGCAAGUUUAUAAUAAACACAUUAGUAUUAUUAACAAAGUCUCUGUUAUGAUGAGAAAGAUGUAUUAUGUUUCACAGCAUCAUGAAAACCGUCACAUGAAGAUAUGUGAAGAUUUUUCUUUAGUUGUGUUUAAGGGUUUCUUUCCCAUCAUUUCAUGUUUGAUAAAGGGACAUUUUGGUUAAUAAUGAAAUCAUUUAUUAAAAUGUGAAAAAUUCUGCCUGAUGUGUUGGAUGUAAUGCAUGCAAGUUUAUAAUAAACACAUUAGUAUUAUUAACAAAGUCUCUGUUAUGAUGAGAAAGAUGUAUUAUGUUUCACAGCAUCAUGAAAACCGUCACAAAUACCACAGAUAUGUGUGGAAAACAUGACACCAUUGGUCUGGUAUUCAAUAUAUGUUCUCUUGUUUUUUUGUCUUCAUAAGUCUUAAAAAACACAAGAAUAAUGGAUAUAAAUACAAUAAUACUACUAGAUUUGAAUAAGAUAAUCUGAUAUGAAUUUCACUCCUGUCUUCUUCAAUGAUUUGCUGCAAAAAUGCAACUUUAGCAUUUUUGAGACCUUAUUGACCUUUAAAAAAUUGCAGUAGACAUCUGAUAACAAGUAUAACAUGAGGUAGAAGAGACAAUAAUAUAGAACAGACUAGUAAGAGAAUUGUACUUUAGCUGUUCAGUAGCAAGUCAUUCAUCAUUAUAAAUACCCCAUAUCAUUGUGAUAAAAAGCAGUAUGUUUUUAUCAAUCACGAUUUGACAUGAUUUUUGAUACUUCU